Molecule: long non-coding RNA, 948 nt
Organism: Canis lupus familiaris (dog)
Lineage: Eukaryota; Metazoa; Chordata; Mammalia; Carnivora; Canidae
Exons: 3
Source: RefSeq, a predicted model, not a curated record
UCCAAGAUAAGGAACUGAGACGAGCUGCCCUGGAAGCAACAACAUUUGCAUGCAUGCGUAGAGCAGAAAACAUGGAUUCCAUGCAUCAAUAUCAGGCAUCUUGCGUCUCUAACCUCAUCACUCUGAGUCUGUAUUAACAUUAGAGGUACGUACGUCCUGGGUAUCUACAUUUGAGGCCAUUUGAUCCCUGGAAGGACUGUGCACCUCAGAGGCACAGAGCAGAGGAAAGGGUCUGCCGGACAAGCAGUUGGAACGUGUGAACCAACAGGUGCCGCGAAAAGACUCACGCCUCCCUCGAUCUACGUGCUGUUUUUGUUCUCCUAUACAGUCCGUUCCGUGACUCUGGGAGACUCAGGUGAAGAAGGAGGGUCCACACAAGCAGUAAACCCUUUGUGGCCCGAGGCCAAAAGGCGUGCUGAAGGACAUUGUUUUAGGGAAGAUGUGCCGUGCCUGUGUGUCUGACGGCCAGAACCCUCAACCUCUAUUAGUCACCUCUUGAGAGGACACCCAAAUCACAAUGGAUGCUGAGUAUGUCCUGUGCAACUGGAAAGACCACUUGUGGCCAGCAAGGGUUUUGUCCAGAUCCGGGGUCUCACCAAGAAAUAAGAGGAAAGGAGCACUUUCUCUAGAAGUUGAAAUACUCUCGGUAGAUGAAAAAAUUAAAGUGAAAAGCACAGACGUAAAGAUCCUAAACGAGUCUCAGAUUGAAUCCAUUACCUCCUUGCUAACAGCCCAGUCGAAGGCCAGUGUCCCAGCGGGACAGGAAGUGCCUUACAGAAACGCUCUUUCAGUGGCAUUGGAGAUUCUGAAGGAGAGAGCAGAUGUGCGCCCAGCAGGAGCAUCGGAUGAUCCAGAGACCACUACACCGUCCCGAAGGGGACCAAGAAAGCGAUCUCUUAAAGACUACCGGAAGGCCAAAGGGAUCUUACUGAGGCGUCUCAGGAAACG